GGCUAAAUAGCAUUUCCUGUCAAGAAUUAUUUAUGACUAUCUUUAACACAGGCUGAAAGUGAAACUUUUCACAGCGAAGAACAGAAUUCCUCAGAAUGCAGCAUAAGGUCGUAAAGUUUAGCAGACAGUUAGAAUAACCCUUUCAAUGCUGGCUAGAUCUCCUAGGUAGUUAAGAUCUAUUCUUAUGUAAUUUUUAAAUAAAAUAACAUUUAAACCAGUUUAAAUUCAUUUUCUUAAACCAUCCAAUAAGAGAAUCUACAUAUUAUAUAAGCAG
Pelobates cultripes (western spadefoot toad) is the source of this 274-nucleotide non-coding RNA. NCBI's taxonomy places the organism in Eukaryota, Metazoa, Chordata, Amphibia, Anura, Pelobatidae. The record is from the annotation of a GenBank genome assembly.